UUGCAACAAGCUCAUGGCCCGUUA
This 24-nucleotide non-coding RNA is filed under the name Arabidopsis thaliana (thale cress). The record is from RNAcentral. Lineage: Eukaryota; Viridiplantae; Streptophyta; Magnoliopsida; Brassicales; Brassicaceae.